Molecule: long non-coding RNA, 522 nt
Organism: Sarcophilus harrisii (Tasmanian devil)
Lineage: Eukaryota; Metazoa; Chordata; Mammalia; Dasyuromorphia; Dasyuridae
Exons: 3
Source: RefSeq, a predicted model, not a curated record
AAAACGUAGGAACUAAUGGAGGAGUAGGGGAUGUUGGGACUUGGGGGGAGGGUCUGGCCCCCUGUAAGGCAGGGACAAGACCCUGCACCUUCUGGAGAAAUCUCCCUGAGUUCUUGUAGUGGAAUCCCUGAAAUCCCCAGAUCUUGGCUCUGGUCAGGGACCAGCACUCUUUCCCUUGGCUGCCGGGACUGAAGGGGUUUGGCCCCAGCCUGGUGCCUUCGGGAGCUGGGGCUGAGGGGCCAGAGAGGGAACCUCCCAUUGGAAAGACCCGAAGCUGAGCCUGGCUGUGCCGACGUGGACACACAUCUGGGAUUCUGCCACCAUCUUGGUCCUGGGCCUCCAUCACUUCAAAUUUGGACUUCUAAAAUUACCUUCUGGCAGUACAGCGACACUGACCUCCUUACAUACAACACUCCAUAUCUGACUCAACGGCUUCUGUACCUGCGAGCAUCUCUCAACUUCCACCUCCUGCUUUCUCCAAGACUAAAUCCUACCUUGUGUAAGAGAUCUGUCCUGGUUCUC